UCCGGCGAGGAUCCAAAUCCUUGUAGGAACUCUCAAUGGGGAGGGGUCCAUAAUCCUUUUGAGUUGGGUGAUGUCCCACCACGUGAAUAAGGUGUGAAGCUGUUGUGCAACUACAAGGAACGCACCCAACACGCGCGAAUAAUACUUACUCGCAUGAGUUAGGGGCGGGCCUCGCUGCUUUGUUCUUUUGCUUAUUGAUAUGAAGUCAACGGUCAUGAUAGGUGUUUAGAUCAACGAAUGCGAAAUCAACAAUGGUUUUUAUUUUUUAAGUCCCUACAUUUAAGAAUUCUACUAUAACGACCUCUUAUUG
RNAcentral lists this long non-coding RNA (310 nucleotides) under Malus domestica (apple). Its description in RNAcentral is "long non-coding RNA (MDOM_LNC018964)". Lineage: Eukaryota; Viridiplantae; Streptophyta; Magnoliopsida; Rosales; Rosaceae. The record is from RNAcentral.